Molecule: long non-coding RNA, 1216 nt
Organism: Homo sapiens (human)
Lineage: Eukaryota; Metazoa; Chordata; Mammalia; Primates; Hominidae
Product: long intergenic non-protein coding RNA 1229
Source: Ensembl
AUUUGCGUGAGGGGGAAAAAAUACCCGCUUGUCCGUCCUGUCCCUUCAGGCUGCGCAACGCUGGAGGGCGAUGGGAGCUCCACACAGGUGGGACGAGCCUAGCAGGACAAGCGUCGCCUGCACACGUCAGCACAAAUGGGAACAUGAUGAGUGAUGCUGCCUGGAGUUAAAGGAGGCCAGGAGCACCAGAAGCUGGAGGAGGCCGGGGUGGAUUCUCGCCUGGAGGCUUCAGUGGGAGCACGAGCUCCCGACACUUCGGUUCCAUCUCUUGUUUAAAGGCACCCAGUUUCUCAUCAUUUGUUACAGCACCAUGGAAAACCCACACACAAGUGAAGCCCCGACCCACCUCCCAAGUGCCCAUCUGAGCACCCCUCGUGGACUCUGAGCAGGGGGUUGCCAUCACCAACUCCAAGUCUUGCAGCCCCUCUUCCCUUCAGUCUGGCUGCCACCUUCUUCAUUGCCCUGGAAAAAAAUAAUGAAGUUUCACCAUUUAAAGGGUUUCAGUGCAGCUUGCUAUGGGAACACUGGAGAGUAACACAAAUGGCCAAUUGUCCUAAUAGCCACCAUGGAUUGGAUGGAUGCUAACAACAGGCUCACAGUUCUCCUUCUGUUGCCUCCUUUUAUCCACAUGAGAAUCAAACAAGAUCUUCUAGGAAUCUAAAAAUGUGUGUGAGAUUUCACCUGUAAAAGCUGAGUUAUUCUGAAUCUGCGUUUUCCUGAAGAUUUUUCUUUGUGUGGUCAGCCUUCUUGGAAAAAUCCAGAAGCCACCAUCAACUUACAACCCUGCAUGAAUAAAUGACUACUGAUUAAAUGAAGCCUUUGAUGAAGUGCAUGCAGUUUGUAGCUUGAUUCAUGGGAAUACUCAUCACAGACUGAAAGUGUAACCCAGGGUCUCUGGGUUUUUGGGAACGCGCUGUGUAAAAGUAUCUACUUGUAACUGUUACUCCCUGAGUUGUUGUUGUUUUAGAAAGUUCCAAGAAGAAGCUUAGCCUUGGAAAAAACAAAAACUGGUUGAAUCCAGAAGUGGAGAUGAAUUUUGGCCAACGCUCCUCACUGCCACACUAAAAACCCUGCUCAGAGAGGAGCUUAUUCACCAUGUUCUAUUCAUGCAAUGUGUGUGGAAACAUGAUCUACGACAGCAUGCGUGCUGCCUUCACCCUACCUCUACAUACAAUGACUCAUUUAACCUGCUGAAUAAAAGCCCUGUUUUCACCUU